AUGCACGCUGGCGGCGUGCCUAAUACCUGCCAGUCGAGCGAACAGACGAGGAGCUUGCUCCUCUGACGUUAGCGGCGGACGGGUGAGUAACACGUGGAUAACCUACCUAUAAGACUGGGAUAACUUCGGGAAACCGGAGCUAAUACCGGAUAAUAUAUUGAACCGCCUGGUUCAAUAGUGAAAGACGGUUUUGCUGUCACUUAUAGAUGGAUCCGCGCCGCAUUAGCUAGUUGGUAAGGUAACGGCUUACCAAGGCAACGAUGCGUAGCCGACCUGAGAGGGUGAUCGGCCACACUGGAACUGAGACACGGUCCAGACUCCUACGGGAGGCAGCAGUAGGGAAUCUUCCGCAAUGGGCGAAAGCUUGACGGAGCAACGCCGCGUGAGUGAUGAAGGUCUUCGGAUCGUAAAACUCUGUUAUUAGGGAAGAACAAAUGUGUAAGUAAAUAUGCACGUCUUGACGGUACCUAAUCAGAAAGCCACGGCUAACUACGUG
RNAcentral lists this ribosomal RNA (496 nucleotides) under uncultured bacterium. RNAcentral describes it as "partial 16S ribosomal RNA". It matches the Rfam family "Bacterial small subunit ribosomal RNA", at positions 29 to 507 of the family's 1533-position model. The record is from RNAcentral.